UACAACCGUUUCAAAAUCAUCUAUUCAUCUUCUCUCCAAUUUCUUCCAUUUUCUCAUCAGUUUUCCUUUUCCCUUUCCAAAACCCUAAAUUCAACCAUGGCCGCAUACCUCUUUCCACCAUAACAAUCUUCGAUCUGAAUAUUUAUAUCCAUUAUUCUGGCCGUUCACUCCAUUUCGCAAUGAAUCAAGACUUGAUCACCACAAAGAAUUGCAUCAACAAUCAUCAAGAAUCAACAUAAUCCAUGUUAAUCAUCGAUUCUUGCUUCCAAUUUCUUAUUAUAGAGGAUCUACCAUAUAAUUUCAAGGUUGUGGUUAGUUGUGGAUGAUGGAUGCGGCGAUGGUGAUUAAGGAUGGGGAAUGUAAGCAAUAGUAAGUACCUUAAAAUGGUUAAACUGGACUACAAUAACUGUGUAAGCAUGCAUCAGCUCCAAUGGAACACUAAUCAGCAAUACAGACAAAGGAGAAGACGGUUUCUAUGUUCAACAGAAGCUGACAACAAAGAGAAUAGAAUUCGGUAACAGAGUUGUCCACUGGUAACAGUUCGGAUGGAAUUACAAAUGGUUGUUCAUGGAUAGGAAAUAUGGUGGUUAUGGUAGUUGUCCAGGGAGAUGACCGCCAGUGAAAGGAGAUGACACCAGAACUGUGACAUGUCUGAGCUAAAGCAUGGCGGCUUGGCUUGGUGAUGUUUUGAAACUAACGAUAUUGGUCACGAUGGUUGUUCGAGAGGUGGUGGUGGCAUCAGCGGCAAAGAAGGUGAGGUUUGUGAUGUCAGCUGGCGGGGGCAUUGGAGGCUCCGGCAACGACUGGUGAUGGUGGCGUUGACAACAAUUAGCAGCUGAUGUAUGUGGUGAUGAAGGUGAACAUCGAAGACUGAGAUGCGAGAACGACGAUCGAUAAGUGGUGGCUAGGAACCCAGUGGUUGCUUCACCAGUUGUGCCGAAUCAUACAAGCUUAUCAUCUCAGUCAGUCAAAUGCUGGAGGUUAUUAAAUUUCUG
Molecule: long non-coding RNA, 995 nt
Filed under: Helianthus annuus (common sunflower)
Lineage: Eukaryota; Viridiplantae; Streptophyta; Magnoliopsida; Asterales; Asteraceae
Source: RNAcentral